RNAcentral lists this ribosomal RNA (568 nucleotides) under uncultured bacterium. RNAcentral's name for it is "bacterial SSU rRNA". It matches the Rfam family "Bacterial small subunit ribosomal RNA", at positions 8 to 569 of the family's 1533-position model. The record is from RNAcentral.
AGAGUUUGAUCCUGGCUCAGAUUGAACGCUGGCGGCAUGCCUUACACAUGCAAGUCGAACGGCAGCACGGGGGCUUGCUCCUGGUGGCGAGUGGCGAACGGGUGAGUAAAGCAUCGGAACGUACCUUGUCGAGGGGGAUAACGCAGCGAAAGUUGUGCUAAUACCGCAUACGUCCUGAGGGAGAAAGCGGGGGACCGCAAGGCCUCGCGCGAUGAGAGCGGCCGAUGUCAGAUUAGCUAGUUGGUGAGGUAAAGGCUCACCAAGGCGACGAUCUGUAGCGGGUCUGAGAGGAUGAUCCGCCACACUGGGACUGAGACACGGCCCAGACUCCUACGGGAGGCAGCAGUGGGGAAUUUUGGACAAUGGGGGAAACCCUGAUCCAGCCAUGCCGCGUGAGUGAAGAAGGCCUUCGGGUUGUAAAGCUCUUUCGGCCGGGAAAAAAUUGCACGGAUGAACAGUCUGUGUAGAUGAUGGUACCGGACUAAGAAGCACCGGCUAACUACGUGCCAGCAGCCGCGGUAAUACGUAGGGUGCGAGCGUUAAUCGGAAUUACUGGGCGUAAAGCGUG